Molecule: long non-coding RNA, 3376 nt
Filed under: Sus scrofa (pig)
Lineage: Eukaryota; Metazoa; Chordata; Mammalia; Artiodactyla; Suidae
Description: lncRNA (ENSSSCG00000052952.1)
Source: RNAcentral
AAGCUUAUAUCUUUUGUGGUACGUUGGUCUCUGUACUCUCGGUAUGAAGGAAAGUUUAUUUGGUUAGCACAUUUAAAUAAUGUAAUUCUUUUUACCCUGUGAACUUGGCAAUACAAAUCACUUAUACAAGAUUUUGAUAAGUUAAUACCCUUAAAUUUAAAGACAUUUCCAGAUACACUUGAAGUAAGUUACCACAGAUUUGAAAGGCAUCAUUUAUAGCUGUAAAAUCAGUAAAUUUGCUUUAAUUUUACUUAAAAACAACUUUGUGGGGGGAGGUUGAAAAUACAAACUCAGUUAUUGAAUGUUACAGUGUAUGUAUUGAAAUCUAAAGACAUUCACAAAUUAGUACCUAAGAAGACAUACAUUUACAAAUAUACACAUUCUAGAUUUGAUAAAGUAACUGUAAACAGAUGCGGUGACUCCUUCCAACAUAAAAACCACAAGAAUAAUUAAGAGAAUCGGUUGGCUCCCUAUAAUGUGAAUGUGCAAAAUUAAAGCAUGAUAAACUGAUAUUUACAUAAAUAUCAAACCAGCAAUUCAUUUUUACAUUGUCAGUGACCAUCUUAGAUGUGUCAUGAGUGGUUCAAUGCAUAUUCCUCCCCCCCAGUGGAGAAGCUAUUCAGAGGUGAAAUUCCAGUACUUUAAGAUGACACACACAACAGCCCUUAUCAGUUUGACCGUUGCCUCUAGGGUGUGAGACAUGAGAACAGAAAGUUGGUUAAGCAUCAUCAGGAGAGCACUAUGUGAAGUCAUUUCUUUUCACUCACCACUAUUAUUAGCUCUAACAGUGAGGAAAUUGGCCUUAAGGUGACUCAUUUUCUCAAUAAGUGAGCUUAAGGAUCAUGCUGGCUUUAUGACUACUUUUUAAUUACAAAGCUAUUUUACUCUAUAUUCCCAACUGGAAAACAAAAAUGGAAGGAACAUUUUAAAAUUGCUUGUUAGUCUCAUUAUCCAAAUACAACCACUGUUGAUAUGCAUAUUUUUCUCCUAAGCGCCCCUUUCCUAUGCACACAGUGUUGAGGGUUGUUGUUAGUAAUUUAGGUGGCCCUGAUGCAAGGAUCACAGGCACUGAGGAAGUGCAGAUUUAAAAGAUCUGCUAGGUUUAUUAAUCUGAGUCUGGGCUGAACAAAAGUCCCAAAUGAAGGCAAAAAUGAGGCCCUCUACUAAUGUCAAAUCCUACAGGGGACACAGAAACAUUUUUUGUUGUUGUUUGGAAGCUCCAAGACUUUGGGUUGGUGAUGUCUGCAAAUAAAAAUGAUAAUUUAACUACAUUGUCCCCCGUUAUCUGCAGGGGGUGUGUUCCAAGACCCUCAGUGGACGCCUGAAACCGUGGAUAGUACCAAACCCUAUAUACGCUAUGCUUUUUCCUAUACAUACGUUCCUAUAAUAAAGGUUUUUUGUUUUGUUUUUGAUUUUUGGUUUUUUUUAGGGCCACAGCCACAGCAUGUGGAAGUUCCCGGGACAGGGGUUGAAUUGGAGCUAUAGCCACCAGUCUACGCCACAGCCACAGCAACACCAGAUCUGAGCUGCAUCCACGACCUAUGCCGCCGCUUGUGGCAGUGGCAGAUCCUUAAUCUACUGAGCGAGGCCAGGGAUCACACUGGCAUCCUCUUGGAUGCUAAUUGGGUUCUUAACCCACUGAGCCACAAUGGGAACCCACCCCCAUGAAAAAGUUUAACUUACAGAUUAGGCACAGUAGGCGGUUACAAAAAAAUAACUAAUAAGAAAUAGAACAAUAUACUGUUCUAAUAAAAGUUAUGCGAAUGUAGUCUCUCUGACUCAAAAUACCUCACUGUAGAUAUGCAAUGCCUUUUCCCUCUUAACUGAGCACUUACACACUGUGGUUGUAACUUUUGUAGUGUUUGGUGCAGCAGCAAACUAACACAGAUUUCUUUUCCUUCUUCAAAAUUUCCUGGAUAGGAGAUUCAUUCUUACCAUAAAUUUUAGCAACAUCAGCAUAUGAUUUUUUCUUUCCUUAUCAAGUCGAGAACAUUCAUGUUUUCACUAAAAUGAAAUACUUUAUGGUUUUCCUUUGGCACAUCUGAAUUGUCAGCAUCACUGCUCUUAUGUCUUGGAGCCAUUAUUAAGUAAAGCAACUCUUAUUUUAUGAGACCACCAGAGUGGAUCAAAUAACUGAGCCAGGUACUAAGAAACUGGUGGGAGGGGUAUGCUGAAAAAAACGGAUGAUUCACCUUCCAGACCUGAUGAAGCAGGAUGACAUGCGAUUUCAUCUCACUACUUGCAAUGGUGCUCAAUUUGUUUCUGGAACUUUCCAUUUAAUAUUUUCAGACCGUGGUUGGUUGCUGGUAACUAAAACCUUGGAAGAUGAAAUCGUGGAUAAGGAGGACCACUCUAAUUGCUCACCUAAUAAGGAUUUCAGGGACAUCUAACUUUCAAAAUUGUUUGUCUUCUGAAUGAUUCCUCAGCACGUUAUCACUAUUGUUUUAUCAACUGCUGAAUGUUGUUACCUUCUGGCAGUGAACCCCUGUCACUCUUAAAUAGACUUGUCAAAAAUUCACCAUCUAUUUGGUAGAGAUAGUAAACAUGAAUGGUGGACAUCAUUUUAUUGAAUCAUGCUAAGACUAAAACUGAAAAAAAGAGUGGUUCAUGCAUUUUUAUUUGAUUAAUUCAGUGGUUGUCUAUUGCCUGAAUUUUAUAUUCCAGUCAGAGUCCUUGGCUGCAGUUGAAUUGUGAUGGACAAACCUGACAUGGUUCAUGUCUUCAGGGUACUCCAGCUCAGCCAGGUGACUGGUAAUAAACUAAGAGACAAUCAAAUAAACAUAACAUUUAAGAUUAUGAUAAGUGCAUGGAAAGCAAGAAUACACAUCACUGAAACAUAAUAUUGAGAUUGGAGAGAGUGGGGUGGGGAUUACCUUCCAAUGGUGAUGGAAGACCUCCCUGAGGAAGCAGUAUUUCAGUUGAGAUCUAAUGGGAUGUAAGGGCCAGCUGGGCAGCAAGUUGGGAGAAGUGCUAGAAAGAGCUUGCUUCAUGUGAGCAAGAAGACCACUGUGGCUGGAGUAUGGAAGUGAACAAAGGAGUGAGAGGCCCAGAUGAGGACAGACAGGCCAGGCCUGGUCACACAGGGCCUGGUAGGUGGUGUUAGAGUCUGGGUCUAACCAGAGUCUAACCUGGUGGAAUGUUAUCAGAACCCAACUGACUUGGGGAAAGAAAACCCUCCAGCCAGUUCUAGCCUUCCUUUCCCACUUAUGGGAAGAGAAUAAAACUGAGAACCACUUGUGAAGUUCAUAGUUCAGAGGCACAGGCUCGCUAAAGACUGAGACUUAGUCAUAGGACUGCAGAAUACUUCCCCUUCCUCCACAUUCAUCACAAAGGGACUAUCGAUAGCAGUUGCUUUUACCCAGCUGUCAAGAAGAAA